Molecule: ribosomal RNA, 1487 nt
Filed under: metagenome
Description: bacterial LSU rRNA
Rfam family: Bacterial large subunit ribosomal RNA
Source: RNAcentral
GGACAUGAGUAGCGACAAAGAGGGUGAGAGACCCUCUCGCCGAAAGUCCAAGGGUUCCUGCUUAAAGCUAAUCUGAGCAGGGUGAGCCGGCCCCUAAGGCGAGGCCGAAAGGCGUAGUCGAUGGGAACUAGGUUAAUAUUCCUAGGCCAGUGGGAAGUGACGGAUCUCGAAGGUUGUCUGCCCUUAUCGGAUUGGGUGGGCCGCUUAGAGGUUCCUGGAAAUAGCCCCACAUCAGACCGUACCCUAAACCGACACAGGUGGACUGGUAGAGUAUACCAAGGCGCUUGAGAGAACCACGUUAAAGGAACUCGGCAAAAUGCCUCCGUAAGUUCGCGAGAAGGAGGCCCCAUCAGUAGGCAACUAUUGGUGGGGGGCACAAACUAGGGGGUGGCGACUGUUUACUUAAAACACAGGGCUGUGCGAAGCCGUAAGGCGACGUAUACAGUCUGACGCCUGCCCGGUGCUGGAAGAUUAAGAGGAGGGGUGCAAGCUCUGAAUUGAAGUCCCAGUAAACGGCGGCCGUAACAAUAACGGUCCUAAGGUAGCGAAAUUCCUUGUCGGGUAAGUUCCGACCUGCACGAAUGGCGUAACGAUCUCCCCGCUGUCUCUAACGUGGACUCAGCGAAAUUGAACUGUGUGUCAAGAUGCACACUUCCCGCGGUUAGACGGAAAGACCCCAUGCACCUUUACUCUAGCUUUGCACUGGCAUCAGGAUUGUGAUGUGCAGGAUAGGUGGUAGGCAUUGAAGCGGGGACGCCAGUCUUCGUGGAGCCUCCCUUGAGAUACCACCCUUCGCACUCUUGAUGUCUAACCGCGGCCCGUUAUCCGGGUCCGGGACCCUGCAUGGUGGGGAGUUUGACUGGGGCGGUCGCCUCCUAAACAGUAACGGAGGCGCGCGAUGGUUGGCUCAGACCGGUCGGAAAUCGGUCGUUGAGUGCAAUGGCAGAAGCCAGCCUGACUGCAAGUCUGACAAGACGAGCAGAGACGAAAGUCGGUCAUAGUGAUCCGGUGGUCCCAAGUGGGAGGGCCAUCGCUCAACGGAUAAAAGGUACGCUGGGGAUAACAGGCUGAUGAUGCCCAAGAGUCCAUAUCGACGGCAUCGUUUGGCACCUCGAUGUCGGCUCAUCUCAUCCUGGGGCUGGAGCAGGUCCCAAGGGUAUGGCUGUUCGCCAUUUAAAGAGGUACGUGAGCUGGGUUUAGAACGUCGUGAGACAGUUCGGUCCCUAUCUGCCGUGGGUGUAGGAGACUUGAGAAGAGUUGCCCCUAGUACGAGAGGACCGGGGUGAACGAACCACUGGUGGACCAGUUAUCGUGCCAACGGUAGUGCUGGGUAGCUAUGUUCGGACAGGAUAAACGCUGAAGGCAUCUAAGCGUGAAGCCCCCUUCAAAACAAGGUCUCCCUUGAGAGCCGUGGAAGACCACCACGUCGAUAGGCCGGAGGUGUAAGUGCAGCAAUGCAUUCAGCUGACCGGUACUAAUUGCUCGAA